GUAUAAGCAUUAUACCGUGAAACUGCGAAUGGCUCAUUAAAUCAGUUAUCGUUUAUUUGAUAGUACCUUACUACUUGGAUAACCGUGGUAAUUCUAGAGCUAAUACAUGCUGAAAACCCCAACUUCGGGAGGGGUGUAUUUAUUAGAUAAAAAACCAACGCCCUUCGGGGCUUCUUGGUGAUUCAUGAUAACUUUACGGAUCGCAUGGCCUUGCGCCGGCGACGGUUCAUUCAAAUUUCUGCCCUAUCAACUUUCGAUGGUAAGGUAUUGGCUUACCAUGGUUUCAACGGGUAACGGGGAAUUAGGGUUCGAUUCCGGAGAGGGAGCCUGAGAAACGGCUACCACAUCCAAGGAAGGCAGCAGGCGCGCAAAUUACCCAAUCCCGACACGGGGAGGUAGUGACAAUAAAUACUGAUACAGGGCUCUUUUGGGUCUUGUAAUUGGAAUGAGUACAAUUUAAACCUCUUAACGAGGAACAAUUGGAGGGCAAGUCUGGUGCCAGCAGCCGCGGUAAUUCCAGCUCCAAUAGCGUAUAUUAAAGUUGUUGCAGUUAAAAAGCUCGUAGUUGAACCUUGGGUCUGGCUGGCAGGUCCGCCUCACCGCGUGUACUUGUCCGGCCGGGCCUUCCUUCUGGAGAACCUCAUGCCCUUCACUGGGCGUGUUGGGGACCAGGACUUUUACUUUGAAAAAAUUAGAGUGUUCAAAGCAGGCCUUUGCUCGAAUACGUUAGCAUGGAAUAAUAGAAUAGGACGUGCGGUCCUAUUUUGUUGGUUUCUAGGACCGCCGUAAUGAUUAAUAGGGACAGUCGGGGGCAUCAGUAUUCAAUUGUCAGAGGUGAAAUUCUUGGAUUUAUUGAAGACUAACUACUGCGAAAGCAUUUGCCAAGGAUGUUUUCAUUAAUCAGU
This 905-nucleotide ribosomal RNA is filed under the name Phaeosphaeriopsis obtusispora. RNAcentral describes it as "SSU rRNA". It matches the Rfam family "Eukaryotic small subunit ribosomal RNA", at positions 63 to 981 of the family's 1831-position model. The record is from RNAcentral. Lineage: Eukaryota; Fungi; Ascomycota; Dothideomycetes; Pleosporales; Phaeosphaeriaceae.